AAACAAUCUUUCCAGCCAAGCUUCCUUGGGCCAGUUGAAGUGAAACCAAGGAUUGUCCACUUAUCUCAGUAAUUAAGGCACAAAGAGACCCAUGCUGUUUGGGUCUGACUUUUCCAAAUCUGAGGGAUGAUGGUUUUAGCAAAUUCAGUGUGGACCAGAUCUUUGAUUCACUGUGGUCAUUCAGUCGUUUCUGAGUCAUUGCUGGACAGCAGAAGCAGACAGCUGAAUCACAGCUCAGAAAACCGUAAUGAGCUGAGCAGCAUUACAGCUUGUUUCGCUUAAUAUUUAUUCUUAAAACAUGACUUCAUUUGUGAUGGCUAUACUUGGAGAUCCAGAUACAAGUCCAGCGUGUUUGCUGUAACAAGUUAAUGCGAUGAAAUAUGGAAAAACCUAUUUGCCUCUGUCUUCAAAAUUUGCACAAAGCUCCUUUCUGGUGAGGAUUGCGUUGCACUGAUCUCUACACAUUUUCCUGGCAUGCAGUGCUGUUUGGCCCUUUAUGGGAUGGGCACAAAGACCCUGUGUCUACCUUCCCAGUGGGCUGCAUAAGAGACCGGGCACAGUGGAGACACAUACAAAGGAAACUUGAAAUUAAACCUAAAGACCUUAUUAGACUCAAAUCACAUAUUUUUGGCAAGAAAAUUGUAUUGUUCAUGCUAUCAAUUGCCUUUUGUGUUAUAUGAGAAGCUGAGUGAUAUGUCAUUGUGUGAAUAUACCACAUAUACAAGCAGUUCCUUAACUAAAGGACCAACUCAGGGAAGAAGUUCAUUGGUACAAACCCCACACCAUGGGACCCCUGGAGGACUAUACCUUAGAAGCAGGGAUGAAAGAGAGACUGCCAUUCCCGUGGUUACAGCUAUUGAAAUGACACCCAUAGAAAACAGAAGAAAAUAAUUAGCUUCCACUCAUUUCCAAACCCAGUACUUUCUGGGACUCAGACUGGCUCUUCUUGCUCCUCUGCUUGCAGACAGCCUGUUGUGGAACCUUGUGAUCAGGUUGGGCUGGAAAAUCCAUUUCUCACGGUUCCAAAGGCUGGGAAGCCAGGGUCAAGGUCCUGCAGAUCCAGUGUCUGGCGAAGCCCUUCUUCCGGGUUUGGAAAUGGCUGCCUUCUCCUUCUAUCCUCACACGGCAGAGAGAGAAAGAGACUGUGAGAAACAGAGGAAGUACUCCAGGGAGUUCUGCAAUGUCUUCUAAAAGGAUGCUAAUCACAUCAUGGGGGCUCCAUCUUUGUGACCUAAUCACUUCCCAAAGGCCCCACAUCCUAAUACCGUCACAUGGGAAGUGAGGGUUUCAACAUGUGAAUUUGUGAGGGGACACAAACAUUCAGUCCAUGGCACUAACAUACCCAACACCAGAAUCUGAGUGGAGAGUUUCAUCUGGGUGAUAUCCCUUCAGUUUGUGUAAAGCCCUGAACUCCACCUCGUCUUUCUCAGCUGCUUUUCCUGUUUUCUCUGCCAUGGUGAUGCUGCUGCCUUCCACUCAAGUUAUGAGAAGACAGGGUCCCACAGUUUACCAUCUGCUUCUGUCACCCGUCUUGAGUUGGUCACAAAUUCCUACUGAUGAUACCACACAAAGGACUCCUGGGCAUGUCGUCUCCUCUCUUGAAAACAUAGGGUCUUAGUCCAGGUCUUCAUUUAUGCAUUCGUCCAACAUUUCCUGUUUUACUUUCUUUCAUGGUGUUCUCCAUGGUGGUGAUUAAAUAAGCUUCCUAAAAUACAGAAAAAAUAAUGUCAUUAUUUGCUUAAAAACUCCCCAUUUCUUCUCCAUUGCUCAUUUUUUAAAUAACACAUUUUUGUUAUUGUGGCAGGAUACGCAUAACAAAAUGACCAUUCUGAGUGCACAGUUCUGGGGUACUGAGUCCAUUCACAUGGUUGUGCAACCAUCACCACCACUCAUCUCUAGAAUGCUUUCCAUCCUUCAAAACCGAAACUUCGUACUCAUUAAACAAUUCCCCACUUCUCUCUCCCCUCAGAACCUGGCAACCACCAUUUAACUUUUUGUCUCUGUGAGUUUGACUAUUCUGGAUAUCUCAUAUAAGUGGAGUCACACGUUGUCUUUUUGUGACUGGUUUAUUUCACUUGGUUUAAUGUCUUAAGGUUCAUCCCUGUUGUGGCACAUUGCUGUGAUUUGAAUGGGUCACCUUGAAAAUCCAGGUGUUAUCAAUGUGGUACUAUUAAGAGGUGGGGGUUUUAGGUGGUGAUUAGAUCAAGAGAGCUCUUCCAUCAUGAGUGAGAUUAGGUGCCCUUAUAAAAGGACUUCAUGAAGGAGUUUGUCCCCCUUUUGCCCUUCUUCCUUUUGCCAUGUAAGAACACAGUGCUCCUCCCUUCUGGAGGCUGCAGCAAUAAGGCCUCCUCUUGGAAGUAGAGAGCCACCCUGAACCAGAUGCUGAAUCUGCUGGCAUCUUGAUCUUGGACUUAUAGCUCCCAGAACUAUAAGAAAUAAAUUUCUGUUCAUUAAUAAUUACCAGUUUUUGGUAUUUUGUCAUAGCAGCGCAAGCAGACCAAGACACAUAUAUAAGGAUUUCUUCCUUUUGAUGGGUGAAUAAUAUUCCAUUGUAUGUGUAGAGUACAUUUCAAUUAUUCUAUCAUCCAUAGGUGGACCUGAGAGGUUGCUUCCAUAUUUUGACUAUUGCAAAUAAUGCUGCUAUGAACAUGAGUAUACAGAUAUUUGGGUCCGUGCUUUCAUUCCUCUUGGGUAUAUACCUAGAAGUAGAAUUUCUGGAUUGUAUGGUAAUUCUAUAUUUAAUAUUUUCAAGAACUGCCACGCUGUUUUCCGCAGCUGCUGCACCAGUUUACCUUCCCACCAACAGUGCUCAAGGGUUUCAAUUUCUCUACAUUCUUGCUAACACUUGUUAUUUUCUGUUACUUAUUUAGUUUUUUAUUUUUGAUAAUAGUCUAAUGAGUGUGAGGUUGUAUCUCAUCGUGGUUUGAUUUCCAUUUUCCAUUAUAACUAGUGAUGUUGAAGAUCUUUUCGGGUAGUUACUGGUCAUUUGUAUAUCUGUCUUGGAGAAAUAUCUAUUCAAGUCCUUUGCCCAUUUUUCG
This 3038-nucleotide long non-coding RNA is filed under the name Homo sapiens (human). Its description in RNAcentral is "HSALNT0122752". Lineage: Eukaryota; Metazoa; Chordata; Mammalia; Primates; Hominidae. The record is from RNAcentral.